This 348-nucleotide ribosomal RNA is filed under the name Triticum aestivum (bread wheat). Its description in RNAcentral is "partial small subunit ribosomal RNA". Lineage: Eukaryota; Viridiplantae; Streptophyta; Magnoliopsida; Poales; Poaceae. The record is from RNAcentral.
AUCACAAGUUGUGACUAUAGAUGGAUAUGGAAAACUGGCAUUCCCCUGAAGAUUAAGAUCUUUAUGCAGCAACUGUCUCGGGAUUCAAUUCUAACUAGAGAUGUGAUGAAACAUAAGGGGUGGAAGGGGGACGCUAAAUGUUCAUUCUGUGGGGAUUGAGAGACUGCCCAACAUCUUUUCUUUACUUGCUCUGUUGCUAGGGUAACCUGGAGAACGACCGCAUGUAUGUUUAGCACUGAUAAGUGUCCAGACAAUAUGUGGCAAGCUUACUCUUGGUGUUACACUUUCUUUCCAAAAAGGGAGACUUUCUAUACUGUUGGUAUUGCCGUGCUAUGUUGGGCAAUUUGA